AACGCACCUUGCGCUCCUUGGUAUUCCGAGGAGCAUGCCUGUUUGAGUGUCAUUAAAUUCUCAACCUCUCCAGCCUUUUGGCUGGACGAGGAUUGGAUGUGGGGGUGUGCUGGCUUCGUCAAGAGGUCGGCUCCCCUGAAAUACAUUAGCUGGUUGCCUUGUGUAAACUUGUCUAUUGGUGUGAUAAUUAUCUACGCCGUGGACUAUUUGCCGUUUUUAGCACUGCUUAUAAUCGUCUGUUCAUUCGGACAAUAUAUGACAAUUUGACCUCAAAUCAGGUAGGACUACCCGCUGAACUUAA
RNAcentral lists this ribosomal RNA (301 nucleotides) under uncultured fungus. Its description in RNAcentral is "eukaryotic LSU rRNA". The stretch from base 1 to 52 matches the Rfam family "5.8S ribosomal RNA", at positions 103 to 154 of the family's 154-position model. Lineage: Eukaryota; Fungi. The record is from RNAcentral.